Long non-coding RNA from Talpa occidentalis (Iberian mole), 466 nucleotides. RefSeq lists it as uncharacterized. The transcript is spliced from 3 exons. Lineage: Eukaryota; Metazoa; Chordata; Mammalia; Eulipotyphla; Talpidae. The record is from RefSeq and is a predicted model, not a curated record.
UCAGGAAAACAACUCCGCAGUGAAAUCACAGCCAUCAACUCAGACCAGGUUCUGGAUUUGGGACCCAUCACUCGGAAAGGUGGCCCAGCCCAGUCUCUUGGUCUCGUGAGUGGCAGCCCUGACACUGCAGGAUUCCUGGUGGUCUGGCCCAUGAUCCUCCUGCCUGUCCUCCUGGCAGGGCUGUUCUGAGAAGUCACUGGGUAGCAGCCUUCACUUCCCUCUGGCCCUGGCUUCCCAUCACCCUCUGGCUCUUCCGGUUCCCUCAGAUCACGUAGACAGUGUUAGCGUCCACAGACCCCAGGCUGGGCGAGGCUUGGGGAAAGCGGUGAGCUUCCCUGGCUUAACUCUCUGCGUGUCUUCCCUUUUUGCCCCCGUGUUGGGACCCUGCUGCCUCUCUUGGGCUGACUUCCUCAUUCAUUAGCAAGACCUUGAAAAUAAACUUGCCAGGUGUCUUUGGCUCCAUCUU